Molecule: ribosomal RNA, 440 nt
Filed under: uncultured bacterium
Lineage: Bacteria
Description: partial 16S ribosomal RNA
Rfam family: Bacterial small subunit ribosomal RNA
Source: RNAcentral
CCUACGGGAGGCAGCAGUGGGGAAUAUUGCGCAAUGGGGGGAACCCUGAUGCAGCGACGCCGCGUGGGUGAAGAAGCGCCUCGGCGCGUAAAGCUCUGUCAGCAGGGAAGAAAAUGACGGUAACUGAAGACGAAGCCCCGGCUAACUACGUGCCAGCAGCCGCGGUAAUACGUAGGGGGCAAGCGUUAUCCGGAUUUACUGGGUGUAAAGGGGGCGCAGACGGCGGUGCAAGCCAGGAGUGAAAGCCCGGGGCCCAACCCCGGGACGGCUCUGGAAACGGCGGGGCUGGAGUGCAGGAGGGGCAGGGGGAAGUCCUGGUGUAGCGGUGAAAGGCGUAGAUAUCAGGAGGAACACCGGGGGCGAGGGCGGCCUGCUGGACUGCAACUGACGUUGAGGCCCGAAAGCGUGGGGAGCAAACAGGAUUAGAUACCCGGGUAGUC